CUACGGGGGCUGCAGUGGGGAAUAUUGGACAAUGGGCGAAAGCCUGAUCCAGCCAUGCCGCGUGUGUGAAGAAGGCCUUCGGGUUGUAAAGCACUUUCAGUGGGGAAGAAAGCCUUGGGGCUAAUACCCUCGAGGAAGGACAUCACCCACAGAAGAAGCACCGGCUAACUCCGUGCCAGCAGCCGCGGUAAUACGGAGGGUGCGAGCGUUAAUCGGAAUUACUGGGCGUAAAGCGCGCGUAGGCGGUCUGAUAAGCCGGUUGUGAAAGCCCCGGGCUCAACCUGGGAACGGCAUCCGGAACUGUCAGGCUAGAGUGCAGGAGAGGAAGGUAGAAUUCCCGGUGUAGCAGUGAAAUGCGUAGAGAUCGGGAGGAAUACCAGUGGCGAAGGCGGCCUUCUGGACUGACACUGACGCUGAGGUGCGAAAGCGUGGGUAGCAAACAGGAUUAGAUACCCUUGUAGUC
Molecule: ribosomal RNA, 463 nt
Filed under: Vreelandella stevensii
Lineage: Bacteria; Pseudomonadati; Pseudomonadota; Gammaproteobacteria; Oceanospirillales; Halomonadaceae
Description: partial 16S ribosomal RNA
Rfam family: Bacterial small subunit ribosomal RNA
Source: RNAcentral